This 73-nucleotide transfer RNA is filed under the name Schistocerca americana (American grasshopper). RNAcentral's name for it is "tRNA-Thr". It matches the Rfam family "tRNA". From Rfam's summary of the family: Transfer RNA (tRNA) molecules are approximately 80 nucleotides in length. Their secondary structure includes four short double-helical elements and three loops (D, anti-codon, and T loops). Further hydrogen bonds mediate the characteristic L-shaped molecular structure. tRNAs have two regions of fundamental functional importance: the anti-codon, which is responsible for specific mRNA codon recognition, and the 3' end, to which the tRNAs corresponding amino acid is attached (by aminoacyl-tRNA synthetases). tRNAs cope with the degeneracy of the genetic code in two manners: having more than one tRNA (with a specific anti-codon) for a particular amino acid; and 'wobble' base-pairing, i.e. permitting non-standard base-pairing at the 3rd anti-codon position. The record is from RNAcentral. Lineage: Eukaryota; Metazoa; Arthropoda; Insecta; Orthoptera; Acrididae.
GCCUCUAUAGCUCAGUUGGCAGAGCAUUGGUCUUGUAAACCAAGGGUCGGGAGUUCGAGUCUCUCUGGGGGCA